AAAGUCGUAACAAGGUUUCCGUAGGUGAACCUGCGGAAGGAUCAUUAACACGUAUCCACGUAUCAACCAAACGGCAACUGUACCUCCCUGGUAAUUGUUGAGCUGUUGACCCGAGUCAUGGUGGGUAUGCAUUCGUGCAUACGACCCGGGUAGACUAGGGCUUCGAGCCCAAGGCACAACGCUUUAUCAGGCUUUUCUUUCCCAUCAUAUAUACCUUUCUACCUUAAGGUACGAUGGGAAUCUAACCAACCUAUUUCACCCUACUUAUCAACAUUUGACUAAUACUAUUCACUUGGAGAAAUCCAAGCUUGAAUUGAGUUAUCUUAACUAAGCACAACUCUUAGCAAUGGAUAUCUUGGUUCUC
Molecule: unclassified non-coding RNA, 364 nt
Filed under: Cercozoa sp.
Lineage: Eukaryota; Cercozoa
Description: partial contains small subunit ribosomal RNA, internal transcribed spacer 1, and 5.8S ribosomal RNA
Rfam family: Eukaryotic small subunit ribosomal RNA (bases 1-47)
Source: RNAcentral